Molecule: small RNA, 113 nt
Filed under: Marmota monax (woodchuck)
Lineage: Eukaryota; Metazoa; Chordata; Mammalia; Rodentia; Sciuridae
Source: RNAcentral
GCUGGGCACAGUGGCACAUGCCUGUAAUCCCUGCCAUUUGGGAGGCUGAGGCAGGAGGAUUGCAAGUUUGAGGCCAGGGCCAGCAUCAGCAACUUAGCAAGACCUUGUCUCAA